Mastomys coucha (southern multimammate mouse) is the source of this 880-nucleotide long non-coding RNA. RefSeq lists it as uncharacterized. NCBI's taxonomy places the organism in Eukaryota, Metazoa, Chordata, Mammalia, Rodentia, Muridae. The record is from RefSeq and is a predicted model, not a curated record. The transcript has 5 exons.
AGGAGAGGGAUAAGAAGGAGAUCCGCCAUGCCAUAAGAGGAUGGAAGAGAGGAGGUCCGCCAUGCCUGAGAAGAGUACAAGAUAGACACACCCGCCUUGUGAAGGAGCCGGGAGAGCGUGUUCCAUAGGACUGCCCAGCUGGAUCCAAAGCAGCCAGGGUAGAACACAGAAUUUAGAAGAAAAGAAAGUGGAUCUGCGGUGGUUAAUCUUGAUGGUCAGCUUGAACAGAUCUGAAAUCGACAGGGUGACACACCUCCAGGGAAGGCUCUGCCCCUUGCUGCUAAGCACAUCUGUUCUAUUACUGCACCAUUGCAUCCGUCAGUGAAGAAACUCAGCUUCCCAGCCUUCCAGUGCGGCUCAAAGAAGGCACGGGGCUUUCCAGGAACCUCUCAGGCUUUUAGCACUGGGUUGUAACUGCUAAGGCAUCUAGUCCAACAGACUGAGCAGCCACCAGCUUCUGUCUUUCCAAGCAUUCAGACAGGCAUUUUUGGACUGUCCAGUCUAUAAUGCUUGGAUUCAGGAGUUCAACUGUAGACGCAUCAGCUGGGAAUGGGCAUCCCAUAAUCACUGCUCUCUGCAUUUUGACUACACUGGAUCUCUAAUGGUCUCCAUCUACUGCAAAAAGAAGCUUCGUAAGGAGAGGAGAAAGCACCAAGGAAUAUUUGAGCUCACAAGAAGAAGGGAUUCUGCAGCUGAAAUAGAUCUUAGGCAUCAUUUUGACUUCAAAACUCUUAAGCCACCAUCCGCAGGCCCCACGCGACCCAGACUCGUGUGUAUUCUAAAGUGCGACUCCAGACUCUUCUAAUCAGGGCUGCGCUUCAGUUUCUGUGGAUCUCUCUCCAGUUUUGAUGUCUUUCACAAGCCAGUUCCCUGUCUGUUC